AAUAAAAUGCCUGACUAAAGGAUUAUCAUGAUAUGAUAAAUAAAGUAUUUUAUACUUUUAUUA
Molecule: transfer RNA, 63 nt
Filed under: Chiropterargas confusus
Lineage: Eukaryota; Metazoa; Arthropoda; Arachnida; Ixodida; Argasidae
Description: Argas confusus tRNA-Ile
Source: RNAcentral